This is a long non-coding RNA of Apodemus sylvaticus (European woodmouse), 797 nucleotides long. RefSeq lists it as uncharacterized. Lineage: Eukaryota; Metazoa; Chordata; Mammalia; Rodentia; Muridae. The transcript is spliced from 3 exons. The record is from RefSeq and is a predicted model, not a curated record.
CUCAUCAGCCUUUUCCUGCAGGUGGCAAGAUGCAAAAUGUGCAUGCAAAACUCCAAACCUCCACAUUUCAGGUAACCACGUCCUUUCAGAGUGAUCAAUGAGACUGUGCUGAGCUCCGAUCCCCCACAAACCACACGGGUUAGCGAUGCCACCCGGCAUUCCUGUUUGAACCUGCCCGGCUGCUAGGCCCUUUCUUCUGAUGAGGCUGUUUUCUCCGGGAAUGGUAUCACUGUCUGCCAUCGUGACUGUGGUGGAGACCUCCAGAGCACACUGACCCUGCAGAAUAUUCUGCCCCUGCCCCUCAAUAGAAUCUAAUUUAGAAGCUCUCCACCCUUUCUCGGCUCCCUUCCGUGUUUUCUGGCGCUGUCCCAAAGCAGAUUUCAUCGGGUGCAACAAAGCAUGGGCAGCUGGCUUCCUACAAGCAGACAGGACGGAAGUGGCUACGCCUUCUUCAACCUGGUCCUAGAAGUGCUAGCCCAUCCUUCCAGCCAUACUCAGUUGCUGAGGCAGUCGCCAGUGAUUCAAAGAUGAGCGAGACACUUGCAGCUGGUUGAAGGAUGUAAACAGGUUCAGAAGCGAAUGCUGGGCAGCAGCUGGGGUUUGGAAGGGGCCAAGAUAGCAUCACAGACGCCGGUGAUGAUACAAAAGAGGUGUCUUCGGGUCAGGAGCGUAACUCUGCUGCAACAGCCUUUGAGAGCGACGCGGCAACCUUGCAAGGAAUACCAUGGAAAUGGAAGAUAGUGUGUCCAUUUCACCUGGACCAUCUUCUGAACCCCCAAAUUAAACAACCCCACCAA